Molecule: transfer RNA, 72 nt
Filed under: Stegodyphus mimosarum
Lineage: Eukaryota; Metazoa; Arthropoda; Arachnida; Araneae; Eresidae
Rfam family: tRNA
About the family: Transfer RNA (tRNA) molecules are approximately 80 nucleotides in length. Their secondary structure includes four short double-helical elements and three loops (D, anti-codon, and T loops).
Source: Rfam by way of RNAcentral
GCCUUCGUGGUGUAACGGUUAGCACACUCGGGGCGUAUUCGAGAGAUCUAGGUUCGAGUCCCGGAGAGGGCA